RNAcentral lists this unclassified non-coding RNA (387 nucleotides) under soil metagenome. Its description in RNAcentral is "partial contains 5.8S ribosomal RNA, internal transcribed spacer 2, and large subunit ribosomal RNA". The stretch from base 1 to 120 matches the Rfam family "5.8S ribosomal RNA", at positions 35 to 154 of the family's 154-position model. The record is from RNAcentral.
GAUGAAGAACGUAGCGAAAUGCGAUAAGUAAUGUGAAUUGCAGAAUUCAGUGAAUCAUCGAAUCUUUGAACGCACAUUGCGCCCAUUAGUAUUCUAGUGGGCAUGCCUGUUCGAGCGUCAUUAAUUCCACUUAAGCCCUGCUUAGUGUUGGGAAUCUACUCUAGUGGUGCUACCCUGGAGCUACCCCUGAAAGGGGGCUGGCCCGGUAGCUACCCUGUAGUUCCUCAAAGAUAGUGCGCGGAGUUGCGUGGUCCUCUGAGCUUAGUAACUAUACACCUAGCUUUUGAGUGUCCCACGGCGCCUGCCGUUUAAACCCCAUCUUUUAAUGGUUGACCUCGGAUCAGGUAGGAAUACCCGCUGAACUUAAGCAUAUCAAUAAGCGGAGGA